UAGGGAAUCUUGCGCAAUGGGCGAAAGCCUGACGCAGCGACGCCGCGUGAGCGAUGAAGGCCUUCGGGUUGUAAAGCUCUGUGGGGAGAGAAGAAUAAGGUUGAGCUAAUACCUCAGCCGAUGACGGUAUCUCCUUAGCAAGCACCGGCUAACUCUGUGCCAGCAGCCGCGGUAAGACAGAGGGUGCAAACGUUGUUCGGAAUUACUGGGCGUAAAGCGCGUGUAGGCGGCUAAGCAAGUCGGGCGUGAAAUCCCAUGGCUCAACCAUGGAAGUGCACCCGAAACUGCAUAGCUAGAGUCCUGGAGAGGAAGGUGGAAUGCUUGGUGUAGAGGUGAAAUUCGUAGAUAUCAAGCGGAACACCGGUGGCGAAGGCGGCCUUCUGGACAGUGACUGACGCUG
RNAcentral lists this ribosomal RNA (400 nucleotides) under uncultured bacterium. RNAcentral's name for it is "bacterial SSU rRNA". It matches the Rfam family "Bacterial small subunit ribosomal RNA", at positions 355 to 748 of the family's 1533-position model. The record is from RNAcentral.